GUAACCUAUCUUUAAAAACAUUUGAAAAAAGCAUUUGGCAAAGCGGUCCAAAAAAACCGCUUUGCCGCUUUAAACGCUAAAAGCGUCUCUUUUUAAUCACUGGAUCUGAUAAUAAUUAUUGAAGAAGCAGAACCAUUGAGAAGCUGAUGAAUAAAAACUGAGUAUUAUUAUUUUCAUUUGAAAAUUGGAAUGAUCUAUAAAAACUAAAAACUGAUGGAAUCAAAUGACAACCGAAUGAUCCAUAUUCCUUAGUCGUCUUGGACUCAGACUAAAAUUAAGUUAUUCCUUGUUUGAUAUAAAAAGGGUCCUAUAUAAAAUCCAUGGCCCAAUUAUUAUGGGCUUUAAUUGGUUUACAGUUCUUAUUUCCGUUUCACUUCUUAUCAUAGGUUGCCGCUCCUUCCGAACAGUAACACAGAUUCCGCGCUGCAGAUUAUUUCCGUUUCACUUCUUUUUUGCCGAUCCAAUCCAAAUCUAAAUCCGUUCAAGGUAAUUUUAUCAAAUUCAACGUGUUUUUUUGUUUGUUUCAAUCAAUUUCACAUUUGAGAGUUGGGACUGAACCUUGAUCUAUGUACCAUUCUUCCUGUAAAACCCUAACGUGCUUUAUUACGUAUUUAUGUAUAUUCUGGGAAUCGAUUUUUCUUCUUCUAUUAUGGAAAGUUUCAAAUCGCCACAUAAUAAGUUUCAUUUAUAAUAUCUUCUUCACUUCAUAUUGAGGUUAAAUUGAUCUUCCUAAUAUAAUUGGUUUUGGUUUUCUUCGUGGUCUUGUUUUAAUUUUUUCCCAUCGUGUUUUUGUUUCAUAUUGAAUUUCCGCCCUUUUAAUUUUAUUUUUGGGUCUUACUACAUCAAAUCUGUUGUUUGUAUUCUUCGUUUUUUUAAAAAAAAAAUUCCCCUUUUACUUUUAACAGUUUACUAUUGUGAGUGUUAUUGAUGGUCUUCAUAGGAAAUGAUUUCUUGCUUUUAUGUUGAAGUUAAAAUCUUCCAUCGUCUUCUACUUGUUCUUCCUUUUAAUUUUCCCAAAUUUACUUUACAAUUUUUUGCUUCUACUUUGAACUGUUUACUUUUGUGGGAGUUCUUCCUAGUCUUCAUCUUCUACAUUUUACAUUUAAAUUACUUUAUCUUAAUGUUAUUGAACUUUCCUCUUUUCAUUUUAAUUCCUUAAAUUUUUCAUCAUGUUAUUCUUCUCUUUCGUAGUUCAUGGUUUAUUUUUUUUUUAAAAAAAUCUGUAAAUGUUCUUAUCAUAGGUAAUCCUUGGUCUGUACUGCAAAUCCAUGUUUUCAUAAUCCAUUCUUUGUGAUUUCGAACAAAGUCUAUUUAAACUGAUUCAAAAGAAAUAAUUUUGGUUAUAAUUUUAUCUUUGUUAGUCUUAUUCAAUUUCAAGAACCUCAGGCUUUUGAAGUUAUUAAGAUGAUGAUAUUUUAGAUUUAAAAAAUUGUUACUUAACCUGACCAAUAACCAUUCAGAAAGAAAUUUAGGAAUAAACAUUCAAACCUUUGGAUGUUUUUAGACCAGUAGCUCUUGAAGGCUCUGGACUAGCUCUAAUACCAAUACAAUUCAUAUGAGUAGCUCUUGAGCUUCUCUAGACCAGCACACAGUCCAUGAACUUCAUCAAAUCCCAAUUACCUCUACAUGACCAAUGAUU
RNAcentral lists this long non-coding RNA (1639 nucleotides) under Zostera marina. RNAcentral describes it as "long non-coding RNA (ZMAR_LNC004430)". The record is from RNAcentral. Lineage: Eukaryota; Viridiplantae; Streptophyta; Magnoliopsida; Alismatales; Zosteraceae.